AAUCAACGCUGGCGGCGCGCUUAACACAUGCAAGUCGAACGAGAAAGGGGAGCAAUCCCUGAGUACAGUGGCGCACGGGUGAGUAACACGUGGGUAAUCUGCCUCUUCGGUGGGGAAUAACUCUGGGAAACCGGAGCUAAUACCGCAUACACCUGAGAAGGGAAAGGCGAAAGUCGCCGAGAGAGGAGCCCGCGGCUGAUUAGCUGGAUGGCAGGGUAAUGGCCUACCAUGGCUGAGAUCAGUAGCCGGCCUGAGAGGGCACACGGCCACACUGGCA
Molecule: ribosomal RNA, 277 nt
Filed under: uncultured bacterium
Lineage: Bacteria
Description: partial 16S ribosomal RNA
Rfam family: Bacterial small subunit ribosomal RNA
Source: RNAcentral